UGUGAGAGCUGGCUUGCCUGCGAUGGCGGUGGGUCAGAUGUACCGCUAUCGCAGGCAAGCCAGCUCCCACA
This 71-nucleotide unclassified non-coding RNA is filed under the name Pseudomonas gessardii. Lineage: Bacteria; Pseudomonadati; Pseudomonadota; Gammaproteobacteria; Pseudomonadales; Pseudomonadaceae. The record is from RNAcentral.